RNAcentral lists this ribosomal RNA (256 nucleotides) under uncultured bacterium. Its description in RNAcentral is "partial 16S ribosomal RNA". It matches the Rfam family "Bacterial small subunit ribosomal RNA", at positions 524 to 776 of the family's 1533-position model. The record is from RNAcentral.
UACGUAGGGUGCAAGCGUUUAAUCGGAAUUACUGGGCGUAAAGCGUGCGCAGGCGGUGAUGUAAGACAGAUGUGAAAUCCCCGGGCUCAACCUGGGAACUGCAUUUGUGACUGCAUCGCUGGAGUGCGGCAGAGGGGGGAUGGAAUUCCGCGUGUAGCAGUGAAAUGCGUAGAUAUGCGGAGGAACACCGAUGGCGAAGGCAAUCCCCCUGGGCCUGCACUGACGCUCAUGCACGAAAGCGUGGGGAGCAAACAGG